This 1760-nucleotide long non-coding RNA is filed under the name Scophthalmus maximus (turbot). Its description in RNAcentral is "lncRNA (ENSSMAG00000022721.1)". Lineage: Eukaryota; Metazoa; Chordata; Actinopteri; Pleuronectiformes; Scophthalmidae. The record is from RNAcentral.
AUUUUUGGUUGUCUUUUUUUCCCAAGGCUAAACAUCUCACACCCAGCAACUUGGCGGCACUACAGGCAUGCUCACUGGAAGGCCAAAGGACAUACCCGGUAGAGGUCUGGAAGCUUCUCUUCCAAAAGGCUUUGACUUCAUUAGACCAGGCUCUGGAAUUAUUUGCCACCACGGUAAAUCCAGUCCCACAAUUUCACAAAAUCUUUGCUUCCUUGUGGGAAUUCUGUGUAAUAACCAAGAUGACUUUUUCCAACCCCAGGCCGCCAACAACAGCUUCCCAAUAUUUCCACAUCUGCUCGAGGCCCUCGGAGAGGUUAGAAUUGCCAACUUCAGCGAGGCACAGCUGCAGAGUGUUGACUUUGUCAGCGGCUGGUUCCAGACAAAGUUGCGUCCGUUUUUGGCCUCUCCAUCCUCCAACUUCCUAUUCUGCCUGAGCUCCAAGAACUUCAGCUGCCAAACAUACCAGACUGUGUAAGCAAGCUAUGUGAUGUAUUGCUCCACUGUGAACCAGAUUGUAGAGGCUCCUGGCGUUUUCCUCUUUUGAGAUGUUGAAAGCAUUCUCUCAAAUUUUAGCAUCCAGGUAUUCAGCAGCCAAAGGCCAUCCAUGGACGGGGAAAGACAGCGUGCAGUCUUCACUCAUUUCAUCAAACCAUUCCUGUCAAGAAAUGACUCAUCAGGUAAAGGCAGGCGCUGCACUCAACUUGGAAAAGUCUAGGUCACAACAGUGGUGGUAUCCUGCCAAUGGGUUUGUUUCCGUCUUCUUUGCAGAUCCUGGCUGUGUCUCAUCUACCAACGGGAGCGGAGACUGGCUGCAGACAAAUAUUGGCGGCUUCUCUGAAUAUGCGACCCUGCAGGAUUUGAAAGGCCUCAAUCCCAACUUCUCAAGUAACGAAUCGUUGUCGGCCCUCACUUCUGCUCAGUUGGCACAGCUGACACUGAGCUCGGGGGCGUCGAACGACACAGACCAAAUCGACCGUGUGUUUGGACGACUUGAGGUGGGCAAUGCUCUGGAAAAUGUGGAGGAAUUCCUGACAGAGCUGACAGCGAAAGGACAGGAACCCGAUUUCCAACCUGCUGUGAGAGAUCGCGUAAUGAACAGGACCUUCCUCAUCAUCGGCCCCCAUUUCCCGCACUUUGAGACAAAGGACUGGUUUGUUUGGUUCCACGUGAAACUGGUUCCUGUCCUCGCCAGUUUCAGUGCAGUGAUGCUCGAGAAUGCAACCUCAAACAUGAACUGCUCCAACUACCAUGUUGUUGUGAGCGGGCUGGCCAAAGCUUCCCCUGAAAUGCCGUUGCACAGACGACAAAAGAUCUCGGGUGUUCUGCUGGGCUACCUGAAAAGAUCUGCCAGUGUCAUCAACGAGCCAGGUAGGGUCGACAAAGUAAACUGCGCCACGUGCUCGCUUGUGUGGGCUUUUCCCAGGGCUUGACAUAUUCUUACAAAAUUGGGGUUGGGAAGAAAACUGGCACUGGAUUUGUAUCACGUUUAGCAAUAAAAAAAGAUCUCGCUAAAUGGUACCUACGCUAACCAUGAUCUACGGCCCUCAGUUUGUAGGCGGGGAAUUCAGAGUGACGCCCAAUGGAUUGCAGUAAACUUGGGUCCAUUUUCUCAAUUUACAUCAUACACUGACCUCCAAGUCUUCAACAUCACUGGGGUAAGUCGUACAUUUCACUACCGACUUUUGUAGUAGCAAAAUAUAUUAUUUGUCAAGCAUUAUUUGAAAUUUGAUUCAUUUAAAUGUAGUGAUUAAUGCAGGUCA